AAAUAAAAAAUAUGUCGAUCGAGGCUGGAGACCAGAGAGAGUUGGUAUCUCCGCUGCUGAAGAAGGCGAAGACAGAUCCGGAUGCGACGGAGUUGGUUUGUCCAUCAGAUCCGGAGGAAGAAGAGAUCGAAACAGCGAAUGAUCUUUGAGAAGCAAUUUACAGAGAGUGGGGGUUACGAUGUUGAUUGGGAUAGUAUGGACUACAACUUCCCGGGCAGCAUAGUCGAUUCGAGAGGAGAUUAUGAUGCUCGACUUAGCAAUAAGGAGUUAGUGAAACUGCUCAUAAAUACAGCCAUUGACGAAGAAAACGAAGAAGCUGGAACUGAACUUAAGUUUGUCAAGUAUAUGACUGCAAAUGUAGUGGCCGGCAAAGGGUUUCUGUUUUUUAUUACAUUUUGGGCAAAGGAUCUGUCUGCACCAAAUCCAGAGCCAAAAUGUUACCAAGCGGAGGUGCUCUGGUUUAUGGGUGAUGCCGAUGUUUGUGAAUUCAGGCUCAGGCCAACGAAAUAAUUUGAUCAAUGGGUGAGGUGAUGGUGAUGGUGAUGGUGAUGGAUGAAUCUUGGGUCACUUCCAACUCUGUGGUCUUCCCUUCCACUGAGAAGAAUCUUUAUGUGGAACAUUUUACUUAAUUAUGUAUAUUUUCUUAUUGUGUUUGCAAAAGAUAUAUUGUAGCUAGAAUUAUUUCCUUCUUUCUUA
This is a non-coding RNA of Camelina sativa (false flax), 696 nucleotides long. The record is from RefSeq and is a predicted model, not a curated record. NCBI's taxonomy places the organism in Eukaryota, Viridiplantae, Streptophyta, Magnoliopsida, Brassicales, Brassicaceae.